UACGGGAGGCAGCAGUGGGGAAUCUUCCGCAAUGGGCGAAAGCCUGACGGAGCAACGCCGCGUGAGUGAAGAAGGGUUUCGGCUCGUAAAGCUCUGUUGACGGGGACGAAUGUGCGAAAUGCGAAUAGUUUUCCGCAAUGACGGUACCCGUCGAGGAAGCCACGGCUAACUACGUGCCAGCAGCCGCGGUAAU
This 193-nucleotide ribosomal RNA is filed under the name uncultured rumen bacterium. RNAcentral's name for it is "partial 16S ribosomal RNA". It matches the Rfam family "Bacterial small subunit ribosomal RNA", at positions 340 to 524 of the family's 1533-position model. The record is from RNAcentral.